RNAcentral lists this ribosomal RNA (253 nucleotides) under uncultured bacterium. RNAcentral's name for it is "partial 16S ribosomal RNA". It matches the Rfam family "Bacterial small subunit ribosomal RNA", at positions 524 to 776 of the family's 1533-position model. The record is from RNAcentral.
UACGUAGGGUGCAAGCGUUAAUCGGAAUUACUGGGCGUAAAGCGUGCGCAGGCGGCUUUGCAAGACAGAUGUGAAAUCCCCGGGCUUAACCUGGGAACUGCAUUUGUGACUGCAUGGCUGGAGUGCGGCAGAGGGGGAUGGAAUUCCGCGUGUAGCAGUGAAAUGCGUAGAUAUGUGGAGGAACACCGAUGGCGAAGGCAGCCUCCUGGGCCAGCACUGACGCUCAUGCACGAAAGCGUGGGGAGCAAACAGG